This 69-nucleotide transfer RNA is filed under the name Casmara patrona. Its description in RNAcentral is "tRNA-Ser". The record is from RNAcentral. Lineage: Eukaryota; Metazoa; Arthropoda; Insecta; Lepidoptera; Oecophoridae.
AAUUAAUGAGCUUGUUAUUAAGCAUUUGUUUUGAAAACUUAAAAAAGAGUAAUACUAUUCUAUUAAUUU